UAUUUGAGAGUUUGAUCCUGGCUCAGGAUGAACGCUGGCGGCGUGCCUAACACAUGCAAGUUGAGCGAUUUACUUCGGUAAAGAGCGGCGGACGGGUGAGUAACGCGUGGGUAACCUACCCUGUACACACGGAUAACAUACCGAAAGGUAUGCUAAUACGGGAUAAUAUAUUUGAGAGGCAUCUCUUGAAUAUCAAAGGUGAGCCAGUACAGGAUGGACCCGCGUCUGAUUAGCUAGUUGGUAAGGUAACGGCUUACCAAGGCGACGAUCAGUAGCCGACCUGAGAGGGUGAUCGGCCACAUUGGAACUGAGACACGGUCCAAACUCCUACGGGAGGCAGCAGUGGGGAAUAUUGCACAAUGGGCGAAAGCCUGAUGCAGCAACGCCGCGUGAGUGAUGAAGGCCUUCGGGUCGUAAAACUCUGUCCUCAAGGAAGAUAAUGACGGUACUUGAGGAGGAAGCCCCGGCUAACUACGUGCCAGCAGCCGCGGUAAUACGUAGGGGGCUAGCGUUAUCCGGAUUUACUGGGCGUAAAGGGUGCGUAGGCGGUCUUUCAAGUCAGGAGUGAAAGGCUACG
RNAcentral lists this ribosomal RNA (577 nucleotides) under Clostridioides difficile. RNAcentral's name for it is "bacterial SSU rRNA". It matches the Rfam family "Bacterial small subunit ribosomal RNA", at positions 1 to 606 of the family's 1533-position model. Lineage: Bacteria; Bacillati; Bacillota; Clostridia; Peptostreptococcales; Peptostreptococcaceae. The record is from RNAcentral.